GAGGGUAGAGCUCAGUGGUAAGAGUACAGGCUUAGCUUGCAGGAGGUCCUGGGUUCAAGCCCCAGUACCUCCA
Molecule: transfer RNA, 73 nt
Filed under: Camelus bactrianus (Bactrian camel)
Lineage: Eukaryota; Metazoa; Chordata; Mammalia; Artiodactyla; Camelidae
Also listed under: 1 other name
Rfam family: tRNA
About the family: Transfer RNA (tRNA) molecules are approximately 80 nucleotides in length. Their secondary structure includes four short double-helical elements and three loops (D, anti-codon, and T loops).
Source: Rfam by way of RNAcentral